GACUUAGCUUAGUUGGUAGAGCGCCUGCUUUGCACGCAGGAGGUCAACGGUUCGACUCCGUUAGUCUCCACCACUAAUUAAAGACUAAGUGAUUACAGAACUUAGUAAGCAGAUAGCUUAUUAAGUUCUGUGAUUUAUCACAGUUAACUACUCGCUGACGAGGCAGUAGUGAAUCAUUAACAGAAUAUAUUUGAGUUGAAAUAAUUGUUUAAACUCGUUUUAGUUGAUGUUAGCAAGCAAUUGUUAAUGUUGAAUGAAAUGAGCACUAGCGAUAAAACUGAAUCAAGCGUUUUGGUAUAUGAAUUAAAUUGAAGCUGUAUAGUGAUUAAAUUCACAGGCAACAAAUAGAAGUGGUUAAGUCCACAUUGUUGAUCCUCCCUUGUAGGGAU
RNAcentral lists this transfer RNA (389 nucleotides) under Bacillus licheniformis. Its description in RNAcentral is "partial 16S-23S ribosomal RNA intergenic spacer". The stretch from base 1 to 70 matches the Rfam family "tRNA". The record is from RNAcentral. Lineage: Bacteria; Bacillati; Bacillota; Bacilli; Caryophanales; Bacillaceae.